RNAcentral lists this ribosomal RNA (492 nucleotides) under uncultured bacterium. RNAcentral's name for it is "partial 16S ribosomal RNA". It matches the Rfam family "Bacterial small subunit ribosomal RNA", at positions 29 to 507 of the family's 1533-position model. The record is from RNAcentral.
AGUGAACGCUGGCGGUAGGCCUAACACAUGCAAGUCGAACGGCAGCACAGUAAGAGCUUGCUCUUACGGGUGGCGAGUGGCGGACGGGUGAGGAAUACAUCGGAAUCUACUUUUUCGUGGGGGAUAACGUAGGGAAACUUACGCUAAUACCGCAUACGACCUACGGGUGAAAGCAGGGGAUCUUCGGACCUUGCGCGAUUGAAUGAGCCGAUGUCGGAUUAGCUAGUUGGCGGGGUAAAGGCCCACCAAGGCGACGAUCCGUAGCUGGUCUGAGAGGAUGAUCAGCCACACUGGAACUGAGACACGGUCCAGACUCCUGCGGGAGGCAGCAGUGGGGAAUAUUGGACAAUGGGCGCAAGCCGGAUCCAGCCAUACCGCGUGGGUGAAGAAGGCCUUCGGGUUGUAAAGCCCUGUUGUUGGGAAAGAAAAGCAGCAGGUUAAUACCCCGCUGUUCUGACGGUACCCAAAGAAUAAGCACCGGCUAACUUCGUG